UCCUGUAAAAUUGAGGGUCCUGUUGAGAAUGUUUUGAUUUCCAUAAACCUUUAAUUGUUGCUGAUAGUCCUCGGAAAAAUUGAGGCAUUUCUGAAUAUUUUCCCUCGUUAAGACACCAAUGAAUAAAUAAUGCUCCAAAAACAGGAAGAAAAGCACAAAAAUGUCUUAAUAUGGAUUUUCACAGCAGUAUUAACACUAUAAGGUCAUUAUUUGAAAACUUAAGUUUCUUAUGCUUUUGGAAAAGUUUUUAAAAUCCUGUCAGAAUUUCAAUAUAUUUAUGUAAGUGUGUCCAUGUUGAAAAGUUACUGUGUAUAAACUUCAAAAGAAUCUUGACCAGUCUCAAUAAUAUAUCUAAUCUGCUACCCAGUCACACAAAGAAUUCCGAAUUCCUCCUCCAAAUAUUGACAAAAGUGAUUGAAUGAAAAUAAGUGUUAAAUCUCCAUCAAAGAUGCUUUCGUAUCAAUAAUUGUAAACUGCAGAUGGACCUAAACCCUGGCAUUGGAACAAGUUUCACUUAACGAAGUUUUGUUCAGCUCAUAAUAUGCAUCUACUUUUGCAAUUAAUGACCUCGCUGUCAAACACUGUCCUAAGAUAUCAACCCCCUGAAUUUAUCUUUUCUUUUCUAAAUUCUGUCUUCUUUGUUAAGGUAUUUAAAUAGCAAUGAAGCUUGAAAUCUGUUCAUGUCUUUAGAAUGUUUGUUAAAUAAAUGUAAGUAAAAUAUUGAACUACCAAUUUAUAAACUGGCAAUCCUGUAUUCAAUAAAGCAAAUAAUGACAACCUCCCAAAUUAAAUUUACCAUUGAUUUGAAGGUCAAUGAAGGAAAUAUAAUAAUUUGUAUUUAAAAAACAUAUUCAAAUUUUUAAUUACAGUCUGUACUUUAACUGCUCUUCAUUGUAAACAAGAAAGUGAUGCUAAAGAGUAUUUUGAAAUCAUGUUUGUCUGCACUUGGAGACAUUUUAAUAUAUUUUGGAGGCUUUAUGCAAGUCUAUAUAUAAUUUGAAAUUAUUGAAUUACCAAAAUCUAUACACUGUACAUAAAUUUCAUUUCUCAACAUUUACAUAUGAAUAUUGUCACAUGCCAGUCAAAAUACAUUGUACAUAAAAAAAACACCACUAUUUAGAAUUACUGAAAAAUUGUUCAAUUAGUCAGAGCAGGUGUCCUGUCGAAUAGUUAGAAUAGGUAAGUAUUGGACAUUUAAACCCUCAUAUGGUACAUAUUAAAUCAUACUAUUUCUGACUAGUAUCAGUAAAUAGCUUCUUUAAAACAUAUAUAUUUAUAAUCAAAAACCAAAAUAGAAUUAUACACAUUCUUGUAACAGCAACCAUAUGAGUUUACAGUUAGCAAGGCAUGCUAAGUUCUCCCCAACACAGAAAAGUUAGAUUCAAAACAUACGCUAUUAAAUUUAAUAAAAGCAUUGACAACAAAAGUCAUUGAGAAGUCAAGAUUGCUUCAUCAUAAUUGAGCCUGAUUAAAAUCUGGUAAGAUUUCAACAAUAUUGAUUUCAAUAUUUAUGGAUUUGAUUUCACAAUCUAAAACAUUGUUCACUAUAAACAGGUUACACUGCCUACAGACUUCACUGUACAUAUGUAUAGGUAGGCACUGUAGGUUCCUGCCUACAGUGAAGUCACAUUCUUUUCAUUUAAUAACGCAAGAUCAAUAAAGAAACAAUUUUGAUUAUCUUUCAAUAUUCAUGACUUACUGUAUUGCUAUCUACAUCAUGUGAUGUAACACCACCUGACAAAUUUUACUCAGGUGACCUAAAAAUUAUUACACCUACACAACAAUGGAAAAGACCUAGGGCGAGUUAGAACAGAAAGCAGUGGACAAACAUGGGGUGGCGGAUGCUGGACCACUGAUCAUGGAGUGCUGGAAUAGCACUAAAAAGGGAAGGGAGAAAAUGCAAUGGACCAGACCAGGAAUCGGACCCAGGCUCCCUGAAUCAGGUGCUCAACCAAGUCACAUGAUAAUACUAAAUGUGAAGAUUACUGAAGAACUGCAGGAUGAUAAUUCCCAUGCCACAAAGAAAUUCAUUAAUAGAACAUGUCCAUGAUAAACAGACUUAUUGAAACAUGUCUACAAACAAGUGAUUGUCAUUUCAUAUUCACUCAAAUAAAACAAGAAUACACAUGGGUAAAUCA
Long non-coding RNA from Ostrea edulis (European flat oyster), 2138 nucleotides. RefSeq lists it as uncharacterized. The transcript has 3 exons. The record is from RefSeq and is a predicted model, not a curated record. NCBI's taxonomy places the organism in Eukaryota, Metazoa, Mollusca, Bivalvia, Ostreida, Ostreidae.